RNAcentral lists this ribosomal RNA (846 nucleotides) under Leuconostoc mesenteroides. Its description in RNAcentral is "bacterial SSU rRNA". It matches the Rfam family "Bacterial small subunit ribosomal RNA", at positions 40 to 867 of the family's 1533-position model. Lineage: Bacteria; Bacillati; Bacillota; Bacilli; Lactobacillales; Lactobacillaceae. The record is from RNAcentral.
CGGCGUGCCUAAUACAUGCAAGUCGAACGCACAGCGAAAGGUGCUUGCACCUUUCAAGUGAGUGGCGAACGGGUGAGUAACACGUGGACAACCUGCCUCAAGGCUGGGGAUAACAUUUGGAAACAGAUGCUAAUACCGAAUAAAACUUAGUGUCGCAUGACACAAAGUUAAAAGGCGCUUUGGCGUCACCUAGAGAUGGAUCCGCGGUGCAUUAGUUAGUUGGUGGGGUAAAGGCCUACCAAGACAAUGAUGCAUAGCCGAGUUGAGAGACUGAUCGGCCACAUUGGGACUGAGACACGGCCCAAACUCCUACGGGAGGCUGCAGUAGGGAAUCUUCCACAAUGGGCGAAAGCCUGAUGGAGCAACGCCGCGUGUGUGAUGAAGGCUUUCGGGUCGUAAAGCACUGUUGUAUGGGAAGAACAGCUAGAAUAGGGAAUGAUUUUAGUUUGACGGUACCAUACCAGAAAGGGACGGCUAAAUACGUGCCAGCAGCCGCGGUAAUACGUAUGUCCCGAGCGUUAUCCGGAUUUAUUGGGCGUAAAGCGAGCGCAGACGGUUGAUUAAGUCUGAUGUGAAAGCCCGGAGCUCAACUCCGGAAUGGCAUUGGAAACUGGUUAACUUGAGUGCAGUAGAGGUAAGUGGAACUCCAUGUGUAGCGGUGGAAUGCGUAGAUAUAUGGAAGAACACCAGUGGCGAAGGCGGCUUACUGGACUGUAACUGACGUUGAGGCUCGAAAGUGUGGGUAGCAAACAGGAUUAGAUACCCUGGUAGUCCACACCGUAAACGAUGAACACUAGGUGUUAGGAGGUUUCCGCCUCUUAGUGCCGAAGCUAACGCAUUAAGUGU